AUCGGAUGUCCGUAUAGUGAACCGAACUAUAAAUGUUAUUCGUCGCUCUUAAUAAUUUUACAGUCUUUAAUUAACUUAUAUCGAUUCUCGUGAGCAGCCACGCGUCCCGUCGAUUUGACGAAUGGCUACCAAUGUUUACGAUAGACAACAACGGAAUCAUUCGACGAACUCGUGAUCGAUGAUCGUGUGUGCGUUUUCUGUUCAUGCUUUAUCGCCAGCUUCGUGUUAACUCUGCAAAAGUAUCGCUGACAUUGUUUUUAAAAUAAAUAUCUAAGUCAGUAAGAGAACGUGACAGAGAAGCAUCCGAGGGCCUCAAGGCCGACCGUACGACCUUCCCCGAUCUUCGUAUUAUAUAGCGUGUCGUAUUGUUUCGCAAUUUUAAUUAAUAACAUGACUAAAGUGAUUGAACGUUGCACGUUACGUGCAUUUUAAACGUACACCGAACAAAGGAGGAAAGCACGUACAAAAAUAACCACAGUGUUUAGUAUGUGUCAAGAAAGACGCCAAAAAGAAAUAAUGCAAAGCUUAAGUAGGAAACUGUAAGUUAAAGAUACAAG
This 557-nucleotide unclassified non-coding RNA is filed under the name Bombus terrestris (buff-tailed bumblebee). RNAcentral's name for it is "misc RNA ENSBTSG00005032203.1". Lineage: Eukaryota; Metazoa; Arthropoda; Insecta; Hymenoptera; Apidae. The record is from RNAcentral.